RNAcentral lists this unclassified non-coding RNA (264 nucleotides) under uncultured fungus. RNAcentral describes it as "partial contains small subunit ribosomal RNA, internal transcribed spacer 1, and 5.8S ribosomal RNA". The stretch from base 1 to 73 matches the Rfam family "Eukaryotic small subunit ribosomal RNA", at positions 1759 to 1831 of the family's 1831-position model. The record is from RNAcentral. Lineage: Eukaryota; Fungi.
GCAAACUUGGUCAUUUAGAGGAAGUAAAAGUCGUAACAAGGUCUCCGUAGGUGAACCUGCGGAGGGAUCAUUACAGAGCUCGUGCCCACCUGGGCGCAGAUCUCCCACCCGCUGUCAUCGCUACGAUCGUUGCUUUGGCGGGCCGCCGCGCCCGCCAGAGGCCCCACAGACCCCGUAUCGUUAGUGUCGUCCGAGGGCUCAGACAAUAAAGUCAAAACUUUCAACAACGGAUCUCUUGGCUCUGGCAUCGAUGAAGAACGCAGC